UUCCGAAAUCACAUUGUAGUGACGUAUACAGAACACAAUAAAUUAUAUAAUGUAAACAACUACCUGAAAAACAGGUAGAACGAUACUUUUGUAUGGUUUAUUGCAUUUAUGGAGGGAGUGAUGUAUGCUGGGUAAUGGCACAGCUAGCUACUGGGUGACUUUAUUCACCCGCUUCGGCUGUUAUCAGUCCAUACAAUGGGCGUUAUUAGCACAAAUCAGUCCCAUAGAUAUGGGCCAUCUCCUGCUAGAUUGUUCAGAAGGUUGUUCUCAUCCAUCCAGAUGGAGGAUCACUAACAGGAGCGUGGAAGACUCCAGAAUCCACUCUGGCUGGAAUCCGGUGGAUAUGCAGUGUUUACAGAACAGUUCUCCACAGUCGCUGUCCACAUGGGUCAGUGGGACCAAGAAGCACUCUGCUAAUGUGGGACUCUGACCAGCAACAUCCAGCAAGACCCAGACAGCGUUUUCUAUCUCCCAGCUGGAGUUUUGUUUGUCUGUGACUGGAGAGUCAGAUUUUUGUUGAGCUUCACACUUGCAGAGGUAAGUCAGUUUGCAGAGAUCCCUCCCACCCUGGCUUUUAUGUGCUAGAUUUCUUAUCUGAAACAGUAAUAUUUCAGUGACUGCUGCUUAUACCACAGGUUAACUACACGCUACUGAUCCCUGAUGGGAGAAUCAUCAAUUUUGGCAACAAAGAAGCCUGGUGGAUGUUUGUUUACAGUCUGAUGAUGGGACAUCAUGCUCUGCAUCUUCAAAGUUUGCCUCCUCAUUAUUAUUCAUACCCAGUAAUGUGAAGUAUGCUCAUAUCUACUAUAACUGAACCAACCUGGUGCUCUUCAUUUAUGGAGGCUGUUGAGUCUGAAUGUUGGAUGUUGUGUAUCUCGUGUUCUCUGGGCUUUGUUGUCCUCAGUCUUUUUGCAGGAUCAGAAAACAAAACCAGGAGGCGCGUAAAUGUUUCUUCUCCAUGAUGUUUCUUCAAAUGUUUCUUCUGGAUGAUGAUAAGACUGUGACACGGGAUGCCACCUUUGGUCUUGUGAUGAAGCAAAGCUCAGGAAGAAGUGGGAUUAAAUGGUACCCACAGUUGCUCUGAGAAGGAUGUACAGGGGCACCUGCAGCCAAAUCCAAGCCUCAGAGCAGAGCAGCAGUUUGUGCUCACAGAUGGUGACGGUGUGGAGAGACGGUGGUGUUUCCUCAGAAGAACCAGCAGAGUCACAAAGGACACCAGUCCAUCUCACCACCUG
Long non-coding RNA from Haplochromis burtoni (Burton's mouthbrooder), 1235 nucleotides. RefSeq lists it as uncharacterized. NCBI's taxonomy places the organism in Eukaryota, Metazoa, Chordata, Actinopteri, Cichliformes, Cichlidae. The transcript has 3 exons. The record is from RefSeq and is a predicted model, not a curated record.